Molecule: long non-coding RNA, 849 nt
Organism: Solanum lycopersicum (tomato)
Lineage: Eukaryota; Viridiplantae; Streptophyta; Magnoliopsida; Solanales; Solanaceae
Source: RefSeq, a predicted model, not a curated record
UGUUUCAAAGGCAGCUAAAUGUCGCAUGGCUGAUAAUUAAUCCCUCAUGCAAACAACUCGAUCUCAAGCCUUCACUAUCCAUCCCCUCUCAACAUGAAUGCAAAAUUAACAUUGAUGGUUCAGCCUUAGGCAAUUCUGAUCAGAUGGCAACAUGACAUGGAUUGAAUUGGAUUUCAUUGACAGCAACUUUAAUUAUUUUCAGCAAAGGUAUGCACAAUCAUAAAAUGCAAAUGAGGAUAAAUUCUUCAAUUACACAACCUUGCUGAGCUUGGAGCUGAAGUCAGACCAGAAGCAAACAAGGGAUUCCUCUCAUCGAAAAAAAAGGAAUUCCCAUCUAUUAUCUACUAGAUCUGGAAACGUGCGUUGCACGUUUAUUCCAAAAUACUUCAUAUAAAUUUUAUAUUGCAAAUUACAUAUUUUAUCCCCUUUGAAUCUAUGUAAUUUACUAAAAAAAAGUCGUCCUUUUCAGAUAGGAACUAGGGUAAAUCACAUAAAUAUGCUAUAUUAUAAAAAUAUUUACUAUUUAUGUCAACAUAAUUUUUCUAACUAAAUAUAACAGUUUUUUGGAAUUAAGAAAAUUGUACGGUCUUCGCCUCUUUCUCAAUCCUUUUUCCUAUUCUUCUGCUUCUUUGAGUCUUUCUUUCUUUCUUUUUACUCCUCUGCUUCUUCGCCUCUUUCUUCUUCUUCUUUUACUCUUUUAAUUUUUUGUCUCUUUCAAUGGUGUUAUUUAUCUUCCUCCUCUCAUCUUUUUUUUAACUCUUGUUCUUUUCUUUGAACUUUUUAUCUAAAUAAUCUUAUUACUCAAAUCAAUUUUUUUCAUGUCACUAUUUUUAUUCAAAAACAAGAUGA